AAAACUUUCAACAACGGAUCUCUUGGUUCUGGCAUCGAUGAAGAACGCAGCGAAAUGCGAUAAGUAAUGUGAAUUGCAGAAUUCAGUGAAUCAUCGAAUCUUUGAACGCACAUUGCGCCCCCUGGUAUUCCGGGGGGCAUGCUUGUUCGAGCGUCAU
RNAcentral lists this ribosomal RNA (157 nucleotides) under Pertusaria andersoniae. Its description in RNAcentral is "5.8S ribosomal RNA". It matches the Rfam family "5.8S ribosomal RNA". From Rfam's summary of the family: 5.8S ribosomal RNA (5.8S rRNA) is a component of the large subunit of the eukaryotic ribosome. The record is from RNAcentral. Lineage: Eukaryota; Fungi; Ascomycota; Lecanoromycetes; Pertusariales; Pertusariaceae.